Molecule: transfer RNA, 85 nt
Filed under: Lentinula edodes (shiitake mushroom)
Lineage: Eukaryota; Fungi; Basidiomycota; Agaricomycetes; Agaricales; Omphalotaceae
Description: tRNA-Pro
Source: RNAcentral
GGCCUGAUGGUCUAGGAGUAUGAUUCGUUGUUAGGGUUUCUCUACUUAUUCGACGAGGUCCCGGGUUCAAUUCCCGGUCAGGCCC